Micropterus salmoides (largemouth bass) is the source of this 454-nucleotide long non-coding RNA. RefSeq lists it as uncharacterized. The record is from RefSeq and is a predicted model, not a curated record. NCBI's taxonomy places the organism in Eukaryota, Metazoa, Chordata, Actinopteri, Centrarchiformes, Centrarchidae. The transcript has 3 exons.
UCCUGUCCAAGGCGAAGAAGGGUGCUGCAGGCGAGUGACAUCGGGCAGAUAGUGGAAUCUUCAUUCAGCAAAACAAGAGGUCAUCAUCCGAUGUCUCCUUGACCACCUGGGAGAAGAUACAAGUGCCUUGAUGAAGGACUUUGAGAAUGCAGCAAAUGCACCUGUCGGUGUUCAAGAGGAGUUGGGACGAGAGGUGAAGCUUUACCUGCUGCGGAACCAAGAUGGGUCAUUCAAAGAACCUACUGAUGUAGGGACUGAGAAUAAAGGCAUCACUGUCCUCAGACUGAUGCUAGUUGUAGGGACUAACCUAUGCCUUGGAUCUGAAAACCCCAAGAAUCUCAAAAGUUACAGUCUUCCAAAAAGUGCUGCUUCAGUGACUGAAAAAUUUCCUGUGUACCUUGCUGACUACUGUCUGGCAAGAUGCUCUUAUAAUGUGGCUGGUGGAUUGUCUUAA